RNAcentral lists this transfer RNA (64 nucleotides) under Laticauda semifasciata (broad-banded blue sea krait). Its description in RNAcentral is "tRNA-Asp". The record is from RNAcentral. Lineage: Eukaryota; Metazoa; Chordata; Lepidosauria; Squamata; Elapidae.
GAGGGUCUAGUAAACAUUAUUACAUGGCUUUGUCAUAGCCAAAGCACAGCACCUGUGGCCCUCA